UCCGGGCGCAGGAAGUGCGCGCUCAUUCGGACUCCGGCAGAGGGCUGAGGUGCGGAAGGAGAACGGAAGAGGUCUACAGAAACUUACAGUGGCUCUGAGAGCUGAAAGAAGUAAAAUGAAAAGGGAAAUUGUAAGAGAAAGCGUGAGAGUCAGGCGACCAGCCUGACCCAGAACAGGGAGUUUUGGUGAAGACAAGGAAGGGCCUCGUUGCUCCCAGAGUCAACAUUCAACAGGUGUAAACAGCUCUUUGAAGUUCCUGGUCCUCAACAACUCAAGAAACCUUGGAGGCUGGAGAGAUGGCUCCGUGGUUAAGAGCACUUGUUGAUCUUGCAAAGG
Microtus ochrogaster (prairie vole) is the source of this 336-nucleotide long non-coding RNA. RefSeq lists it as uncharacterized. Lineage: Eukaryota; Metazoa; Chordata; Mammalia; Rodentia; Cricetidae. The record is from RefSeq and is a predicted model, not a curated record.